GUGCUCAUUUCAGAAGCACUUAUACAAAAAUUAGAACAAUACAGAGAAGAUUAGAAUGCCCCUGGCAAAGAUGACAUGCAAAUUUAUGAAAGAUUCCAUAUUUGU
Chlorocebus sabaeus (green monkey) is the source of this 105-nucleotide small nuclear RNA. The record is from Ensembl. NCBI's taxonomy places the organism in Eukaryota, Metazoa, Chordata, Mammalia, Primates, Cercopithecidae.